This is a non-coding RNA of Monodelphis domestica (gray short-tailed opossum), 563 nucleotides long. The record is from RefSeq and is a predicted model, not a curated record. NCBI's taxonomy places the organism in Eukaryota, Metazoa, Chordata, Mammalia, Didelphimorphia, Didelphidae.
AGACAAACUGAGGUCCAGAAAGAGGAAGUACUUGAUCAAGAUCACAACCAGCCAGUGGCAAAGUAUUGGUCCAGGUUUCUGAAGGGUUCCUUGACUUUUAAACUAUGGCUGACAUUUUCUAUGGGAACAAAGAGUCCCACAAAGUCCCAAGAAAAUUUGAGAAGAGGAAACAUCUGAUAAAAGAGAGAAUGAAAGAUAGGAGCCACGUCUUCAUGGGCAUAAGGAGGUUGUCAUCUACCAUCUACUUGAAGGCUACCAUUGAUGGGGAACUCACUACUUCUUGAAAUAAUCCCUGCUCUUAAGAAGUCUACAGUCUAUUGGAAAAUGGAAAAUUGAGGCAUCAGAAGUUACAUGGCAAGGAGGGAGGAAGAGAAGGCAGAAUGGAGAGAACAUGGAUCACAAAGUAUCAGAAAAAGAUUAUUAAAAACUGUAUCUACAUAUAAUUGGGAAAAUAUAAUAAUAAAAUAAGGGGAGAAAGUACAUGGUUACCGUCCUUCAGAUUUUGCAGCAUUUGUCUUCCUAUCCAUGAUUUCCUUUGGUCCUCAAUUCUGUGGGGGCAGGUA